This 432-nucleotide ribosomal RNA is filed under the name uncultured bacterium. RNAcentral describes it as "partial 16S ribosomal RNA". It matches the Rfam family "Bacterial small subunit ribosomal RNA", at positions 29 to 507 of the family's 1533-position model. The record is from RNAcentral.
AACGAACGCUGGCGGCAUGCCUAACACAUGCAAGUCGAACGAGACCUUCGGGUCUAGUGGCGCACGGGUGCGUAACGCGUGGGAACCUGCCCUUAGGUUCGGAAUAACUCCCCGAAAGGGGUGCUAAUACCGGAUAAUGUCUUCGGACCAAAGAUUUAUCGCCUUUGGGUGGGCCCGCGUUGGAUUAGCUAGUUGGUAGGGUAAAAGCCUACAAAGGCGACGAUCCAUAGCUGGUCUGAGAGGAUGAACAGCCACACUGGGACUGAGACACGCCCGGGACCCUUCAGGGAGGAAGCAGGGGGGAUAGUGGAACAAGGGGCGAAUGCAGAAGGCAUUAAGCCCGUGAAGGUGUGUAGAGGUUGAGGGUGGAAAAGCUUUUUAACCGGGGUUGAUUUGACAGGAACCGGGGAAAAAGGCCCGGCUAAAUCCGUG